UCACCUAGGCAAUCAAUCAAGUCUUGUCUGUGGGUGAAACCCUCUUUCCAAAGUAAUCACUUUCAAAACAGUUUUGUGUGAGUGUUUGUACCCCAAUUUAUCUCAGCAAGACAAGACGUGUGAUUUUGACUGACAGACACAUAUGCUCCCCCUUCACUCUCCAACUUGCUAUUGAAUAUGGUGGUGGUGGGAGUGAGUGGAACCGAGGGCAUGGAGUAUUUGUAGGAUGGUUGUAACCGAAAGCCUGCUGGGCUGAUUGUUCUGCACCAAGGCAGGGUGUAUUAAUUGCGGUUGUACAUCCCUAUUUGUUGUCUUAUUGCAACUCAUUUAUAAAGUUCGUUUUUCUUGGCAAUGGCAGGUGCAAAAAGGAGAGUACGAGCUGCCAAAUGCUGGGAUUGCAGCCGCUGGUUGGAUAUGCGAGCUGGGCACGGCUGGAAUGCAGAUUUCUGCACUACUGCAGCAACCUUAUUUGGGUUUUGGAGGCAAUAGUCUACCUCUUGGUCUCAAACCCUCUCGGUCCAAAGGCUUGAUGCGUAGCGUGUUUCAAAGGGGUAAUCGAGUCCUUCUUCGCCUUUCCCAUGUAUAUACUUCCUUUUGUGGGCACAAAUGCCUAAGCUUAUGUAAUACAUCCUUUCAGAGAGGAUACAUACUUAAGUCUUGUAAUAGUUUCUUUAGAAAAGUCAAGCUCCUUAGUAUUUUCUUGUAUUAGUGUGUAUUGUAAUAUAGUAAUUAGUUAGCGAGGAACUUAUGUUCUACAUUUCCCUUCUUGUAUGGAUUUGAUACGUUCACUUUGGAAAGAAAUUAAAGAGCGUGCGUAAUUUUUUAUUUCGUUCGUUUUACACCUUAAA
Molecule: long non-coding RNA, 848 nt
Organism: Salvia splendens (bonfire salvia)
Lineage: Eukaryota; Viridiplantae; Streptophyta; Magnoliopsida; Lamiales; Lamiaceae
Exons: 2
Source: RefSeq, a predicted model, not a curated record